Molecule: ribosomal RNA, 253 nt
Filed under: uncultured bacterium
Lineage: Bacteria
Description: partial 16S ribosomal RNA
Rfam family: Bacterial small subunit ribosomal RNA
Source: RNAcentral
UACGUAGGGUGCGAGCGUUGUCCGGAAUUAUUGGGCGUAAAGAGCUCGUAGGCGGUCUGUCACGUCGGAUGUGAAAGCCCGGGGCUUAACCCCGGGUCUGCAUUCGAUACGGGCAGACUAGAGUUCGGUAGGGGAGAUCGGAAUUCCUGGUGUAGCGGUGAAAUGCGCAGAUAUCAGGAGGAACACCGGUGGCGAAGGCGGAUCUCUGGGCCGAUACUGACGCUGAGGAGCGAAAGCGUGGGGAGCGAACAGG